This 882-nucleotide ribosomal RNA is filed under the name Microbacterium hydrothermale. RNAcentral describes it as "bacterial SSU rRNA". It matches the Rfam family "Bacterial small subunit ribosomal RNA", at positions 71 to 962 of the family's 1533-position model. The record is from RNAcentral. Lineage: Bacteria; Bacillati; Actinomycetota; Actinomycetes; Micrococcales; Microbacteriaceae.
AAGCCAAGCUUGCUUGGUGGAUCAGUGGCGAACGGGUGAGUAACACGUGAGCAACCUGCCCUGGACUCUGGGAUAAGCGCUGGAAACGGCGUCUAAUACUGGAUAUGAGCCUUCAUCGCAUGGUGGGGGCUGGAAAGAUUUUUUGGUCUGGGAUGGGCUCGCGGCCUAUCAGCUUGUUGGUGAGGUAAUGGCUCACCAAGGCGUCGACGGGUAGCCGGCCUGAGAGGGUGACCGGCCACACUGGGACUGAGACACGGCCCAGACUCCUACGGGAGGCAGCAGUGGGGAAUAUUGCACAAUGGGCGAAAGCCUGAUGCAGCAACGCCGCGUGAGGGAUGACGGCCUUCGGGUUGUAAACCUCUUUUAGCAGGGAAGAAGCGAAAGUGACGGUACCUGCAGAAAAAGCGCCGGCUAACUACGUGCCAGCAGCCGCGGUAAUACGUAGGGCGCAAGCGUUAUCCGGAAUUAUUGGGCGUAAAGAGCUCGUAGGCGGUUUGUCGCGUCUGCUGUGAAAUCCCGAGGCUCAACCUCGGGCCUGCAGUGGGUACGGGCAGACUAGAGUGCGGUAGGGGAGAUUGGAAUUCCUGGUGUAGCGGUGGAAUGCGCAGAUAUCAGGAGGAACACCGAUGGCGAAGGCAGAUCUCUGGGCCGUAACUGACGCUGAGGAGCGAAAGGGUGGGGAGCAAACAGGCUUAGAUACCCUGGUAGUCCACCCCGUAAACGUUGGGAACUAGUUGUGGGGACCAUUCCACGGUUUCCGUGACGCAGCUAACGCAUUAAGUUCCCCGCCUGGGGGAGUACGGCCGCAAGGCUAAAACUCAAAGGAAUUGACGGGGGACCCGCACAAGCGGCGGAGCAUGCGGGAUUAAUUCGAUGCAACGC